This 48-nucleotide transfer RNA is filed under the name Monsonia natalensis. Its description in RNAcentral is "partial tRNA-Leu". Lineage: Eukaryota; Viridiplantae; Streptophyta; Magnoliopsida; Geraniales; Geraniaceae. The record is from RNAcentral.
UCCGUUGACCUUACAAAGUCGUGAGGGGUUCAAGUCCCUCUAUCCCCA